CCUACGGGGGGCAGCAGUCGGGAAUAUUGCGCAAUGGAGGAAACUCUGACGCAGUGACGCCGCGUAUGGGAAGAAGGUUUUCGGAUUGUAAACCAUUGUCGUUAGGGAAGAAGAAGUGACAGUACCUAAGGAGGAAGCUCCGGCUAACUAUGUGCCAGCAGCCGCGGUAAUACGUAGGGGGCAAGCGUUAUCCGGAUUUACUGGGUGUAAAGGGAGCGUAGACGGAUUUGCAAGUCUGAUGUGAAAAUCCGGGGCCCAACCCCGGAACUGCAUUGGCAACUGUAUUUCUAGUGUGUCGCAGAGGG
RNAcentral lists this ribosomal RNA (305 nucleotides) under uncultured bacterium. RNAcentral describes it as "bacterial SSU rRNA". It matches the Rfam family "Bacterial small subunit ribosomal RNA", at positions 338 to 658 of the family's 1533-position model. The record is from RNAcentral.